RNAcentral lists this ribosomal RNA (627 nucleotides) under Cyphellophora laciniata. RNAcentral describes it as "eukaryotic LSU rRNA". It matches the Rfam family "Eukaryotic large subunit ribosomal RNA", at positions 95 to 724 of the family's 3401-position model. Lineage: Eukaryota; Fungi; Ascomycota; Eurotiomycetes; Chaetothyriales; Cyphellophoraceae. The record is from RNAcentral.
GAAGCGGCAACAGCUCAAAUUUGAAAUCUGGCCUCUUUGGGGUCCGAGUUGUAAUUUGGAGAGGAUGUUUCGGGUACGGUCCGGGCUUAUAUUUCUUGGAACAGAAUGUCAUAGAGGGUGAGAAUCCCGUCUGGAGCUCGGACACGGCCUAUGUGAAACUCCUUCGACGAGUCGAGUUGUUUGGGAAUGCAGCUCUAAAUGGGUGGUAAAUUUCAUCUAAAGCUAAAUAUUGGCCAGAGACCGAUAGCGCACAAGUAGAGUGAUCGAAAGAUGAAAAGCACUUUGAAAAGAGAGUUAAAAAGUACGUGAAAUUGUUGAAAGGGAAGCGCUGGCAACCAGACUUGCAUGUCGGGGUUCCCCCUUGCUUUUGCCUGGGUUACUCCCCGGCGUUCAGGCCAACAUCGGUUUCGGGGGUUGGUUAAAGGCCCUAGGAAUGUACUUACCCUCCGGGGUAAACUUAUAGCCUAGGGUGUCAUGCGACCUCCCGGGACCGAGGAACGCGCUUCGGCUCGGAUGUUGGCGUAAUGGUUGUCAGCGACCCGUCUUGAAACACGGACCAAGGAGUCUAACAUCUAUGCGAGUGUUAGGGUGUCAAAUUACGAUAGGUUCACCUCCAGACUGGCCAAU